Molecule: long non-coding RNA, 139 nt
Organism: Homarus americanus (American lobster)
Lineage: Eukaryota; Metazoa; Arthropoda; Malacostraca; Decapoda; Nephropidae
Exons: 3
Source: RefSeq, a predicted model, not a curated record
CGCUGGUACUACAACUACUACUAUGAUCAUUAACGAUGGAUGCUGUCAUGUACAGGAGGUGAGGGACCCCACGAGACAAGGGCAGCACCACGUCUCCCGGGGCUACAGGGGCCAGAGGGUGCUGUGCCGGAAUAACAAA